This 694-nucleotide ribosomal RNA is filed under the name uncultured proteobacterium 1404-40. RNAcentral describes it as "bacterial SSU rRNA". It matches the Rfam family "Bacterial small subunit ribosomal RNA", at positions 531 to 1204 of the family's 1533-position model. The record is from RNAcentral. Lineage: Bacteria; Pseudomonadati; Pseudomonadota.
UGUCCUAACGUUGUUCGGAAUCACUGGGCUUAAAGGGCGCGUAGGCGGUCCGACAAGUCAGGGGUGAAAUCCUGCAGCUUAACUGCAGAAGUGCCUCUGAUACUGUAGGUCUGGAGGGAGAUAGGGGUGUGCGGAACUUCCAGUGGAGCGGUGAAAUGCGUUGAUAUUGGAAGGAACGACCGYAUCGNAANCGGCGCACUGGAUCUCUUCUGACGCUGAGGCGCGAAAGCUAGGGGAGCAAACGGGAUUAGAUACCCCGGUAGUCCUAGCCCUAAACGAUGGGUACUAGAUUGUAGACUAAUCAUGGGUUUACAGUCGAAGCAAAAGUGUUAAGUACCCCGCCUGGGGAGUAUGGUCGCAAGGCUGAAACUCAAAGAAAUUGACGGGGGCUCACACAAGCGGUGGAGCAUGUGGCUUAAUUCGAGGCUACGCGAAGAACCUUAUCCUAGGCUUGACAUGUGCGAAAGCGCAGGGGGUAGUCUUCCGGAAACGGAAGACGAAGGUAUCCAAUCCUGAACCUGCUACAGGUGCUGCAUGGCUGUCGUCAGCUCGUGUCGUGAGAUGUCGGGUUAAGUCCCAUAACGAGCGAAACCCUUGCUUUCAGUUGCCAGCGAGUAAUGUCGGGGACUCUGGAAGGACUGCCGGUGUUAAACCGGAGGAAGGUGGGGAUGACGUCAAGUCCUCAUGGCCUUUA